This is a non-coding RNA of Biomphalaria pfeifferi, 842 nucleotides long. The record is from the annotation of a GenBank genome assembly. NCBI's taxonomy places the organism in Eukaryota, Metazoa, Mollusca, Gastropoda, Planorbidae.
UUAAUGUCAGGUAUUUUAUUUCAGAGAUAGUGAAAUGUCAUUGAGUGAAAGUUUCCAAGAUUUAAACUAAAUCUCACACAAAAAAAAGCAAUCAUUAAAAGCCUAAUUUUAUCAAUUGAGCCAUUCACUCAUUACCCCUGGAUGACUAAUGUGGUCAUCCUCGAACCACGAUGGACAAACUAUUGAUCUGGUCUAUCCACUUGUUUUAUUAAGGGUUCAACUACAUUAUAAUAAUCACUUCUCCAACGUUUGCUCCAAUGACACUUUUAGACACUCCCCAUUAUUAAUUUCAGACAUAACUCUAAAUCAAUAAUUACUUUCAAACAAAACUACUAUAAAAUCACAAAAAUAUUUAUUUAAAAAAAAGAAAUCAUAAUUGCAUUCACAUAUUCAUACCAAUAUUAAGAGUUCAUUUGCAAUUUUUUUUUUAAACAAUGAAAAUGACUUAGCUGUAUCCUAAAAAAAUGCAGAAACUAAUUAGUUGUUUUUCUAAACAAACAGUUUAGUGAAUACAUAUUGUAAAGCAACUACUUAUAUUAGUACUUCUGUAAUGAAUGAAACUCACUAAUUGAAAAUUCAGAAGAAAGACAUCAAUUUACUUUAUAAAGAAUAUAACACACAAGGUUAACAAUAUACAAACUUAUCUGCCCUUAAAUUUUUGUUAGUGUGUAAGCUAUUACAGGGGGUCCUAAGGUUACAUUAAUCCAAUGCUACAUCGCAUAUUAAACAGAUUAUUAGUGUAAGAACAUAUGUUGAUAUAGUAUGUAAAUACUGUAAGCACUUAUCCUAUCCUUACACAGUACCCUGCAUAAUUAUCAAAAAAAAAAAAAAGACAUACAGGA